AUGACAAAGAUAUUGUUGAGAAAAAGCUGGCUUUUCCCGGAUAAAAUGAAAAUUGGAUUCAUGUAACAGGAGAAAGAUUUCCCAUUCCAUAGCCGGAAAGAUAUGUGGCCAUGAAAGAGGGAUUAAGUGGAACAGAAUUGACUGGGUGGUAGAGUCGUGGAAACGCUUGUUUCUUCCAUAUUUUGGACCUUAGCUACAUGGAAGAAUAUGUUGCUGCUGAAACACAUUGAAAUCUUAGAUCAAAAUACAAUAUAUGGAUGGUAUGAACUGCCUAAACAAGAAUUAUUGAACAGCAAACAACCAUCAGAUAUUCACGACAUUAAUAUAACUUACAAUAGUUAUACAAAAAUAAAGUACAAAAAAAAUUAAAAAUUACGCUAACUCGGCCCAGCCCAUUGUACCCGUAACCUUUACGAUUCAUUUUUUACCCAAAUAAACUCGAAUCUAUUAAAUCCGGUAAGCCCCAAUCCGUUACCGGCCCGAAACUCAACCGUACGAUUCCAAAUUUUGCCUACGCAGCCCACCCGUUAGACACCCUUAGGUUCAAUUGAACCUUUGAAACCAUUGGCCAAAAGGCCCAUGAGUCCCACCACUUUCUCUCUGCUAGAAACUGUUCUUUACCCAAACAAAAGAUGCACCAUGAAACAUCUCGUGAACUACGACUCAUGAGGGGAGAGCUAUGAUUUUAAGGCAACGUAAAGUUUGGGAUUUGAUACAUAAAGUGGUAGUAGCUGCAGCACAAAAUACUAACUUAUUUUUGCUCAUUAACUUUGGCAUAUGACAUUUCUAGUUUAAAGAUAUACUCCAUAUAACAACAAUAACUACAUUUGAGCCUCAACCCCAAAUAAGUUAAGGUGGAUUAUAUGAAUUUUCGCUUGCCAUAUUUCUCCAUUUAAACUCAUUUAAAUCAAUAUUAUGCCAGACGGAUUCAAAAAGUUAAAAAGUAGUAGAAGUUUUGUAUAUAUUUUACGGACAUAUAAAUCUCCGGGAGGAUAAUAGACUUCUAGGAAGCAAAGAACUAAAGGUAAAAAUAGCACGGUAUAGCCAGUUUUCGGACCGGUCAUUCAAAAAUAGCCAGUGUUUACGAAAUUAAUGAAAAAUAAUUCCUAUUUUGCUGCAACAGAGACUGGUCCAACAUAAUAUACUGGAGUCGGUGCACCCGUGUAUGAACUCCAGCAUAUUAUGAUGGACCGGUAUACUUUGCUGACUCCGGUAUAAUAUACUGGAAACUGGAGCACCGAUGUUCCAAACUCCAGUAUAUUAUACUGGACAAUUAUACUUGUCGGAACUCCAUCAUAUUAUGAUGGAGUUCCCGCAUACUUAUCCUAGAACUCUAGUAUAAUAUGUUGGAUUUCAAGCAUACUUAUACUAGAACUCCAGUUUAAUAUACUGGCGUAUUUUUCGAGUUUUGAACAAUGUUUUCACUCGAAUUUAUCUUUCCAUGAAAAAUGACUAAAUUUGAAUUACUUAUAAAAUUGGACUAUUUUUUAGCCAAUUGUAAAUCUAGCUAUUUUUUAAUUUUGCACGACCUAAAGUAACGCACUAACAACAUUGGCCCUUAUUACCGUACUAUGAAUGGCCCUAACUAGAUUUAUUUUUUCUUCUGGUACCUCAGAUAGACUAAAUACAGGGGCAUUUGCAUCUAUGCCUGUUUUUUGUGACAUAUUUUAAUUUGUGUCCGCUUUACAAAAACAAUUGCAAGCAUACUCGCUUUUUUUUACAUAACUUCAGCCCACUGGGCUAAAGUUUUUCGAAAAACUUCAGCUGAAAUUUUUGUCUUUGUGACCUAAGCUCUAGUUAUAAAAUAAAACUUAAGCUCUAGAGCUUAAGUUUUCCAGUUAUAAAAUAAAACUUAAGCUCUAGAGCUGAAGUUUUUAUGUUGUAACUGGAAAACUUCAGCGUUAGAGCUGAAGUUUUUACCACCUAUUAAUAUUACAUAUUAGAGCUGAAGUUUUUCAGUUACAAUAAUUUGUGUCUGGCCAAGCUUUUCAGAAAGUGCUUUCAAGUAUCAAAUUACAAAUAAAGACAUGAAUAAUUCUACUUAAUAGUUAAUAUUAUUAAUAAAUAAAUAAUCUCAAAAUUUUGUUAUUACAGGCAUUAAUUAAAUCUUUUCAUUUUAUUUAUGUAAAAUAUGAAAAUAAAAUUAAAAAGUACAUAUUUAUUUUAAUAUAAGUUAAAUAUAUUAAAAUCAUUUAGUAAAUAUAAAAGCAUACUUGUAAGAAAUAAAAAAAAUUGAAAAAAGAUAUUCAAUAUAUGUUAUAUACAUCUAAAAUAUAAUAUUUUACUUAUAUAUACAGUAUAAUUCGACAAAGGGUAGUCAAUUGAUCAUUCUUAACAAAAAUUGGCUUCGCCCGAGGGACUCACUAUAUAUUAGGAUUUCUUCUAUACAUAGAAGUCAAAGACACAUGGUUAAAGAAAAAUAAAUAAUUCUAUUCAUUCUACCAUAACCUUUACGGUCAUAUGUUAAGUAGACUCAGUUUAUACAUACAUAGCUUAAACAAAUUACGAAUAUACAUUUAUUAAACUUACUCUAAUAUAAAGUUCUGAAUCUGUCUCUGAUUAAAUUAUUUACGAUAAACGGAGGUGUUAGGUUUUUCAGUUAGUGACAUGCAUACAUGAAUCUGAAUCCGUCUCUGAUUAACGUAUUUACGAUAAAAGGAUAUGUUAGGUUUUUCAGUUAGUGACAUGCAUGCAUGAAUAGAAAAGGGGAGGCAGUUUUUCUCGUGUGGUUGCCAAAGUCUGAAAGCAACUGACUGCACUUUCUGGAGGACACUGUCUUUCUCUGCACUCCUCUCUGUAUACGGAUUCAGGAUUUAGAUCAUAUGGAAUUAAUGCUCAAGGUUUUUAACAUUAGAUAUAUUAUAUUUUAAAAUUAUGGGUUCAUAUUUAUUGUUUUUGUAAUUUUAAUGAAUAUUUAUAUAUAAUUUUUUACUCCGCAUAAAAAAUUAAUGGUUUAAUUAUGAUUGUCUAACGGGCCGGGUCAGCCCAUUUCCAGACUAGCCCAGACUGGUUAAAACCAGAAUCAACCCGAACCGGUAGAAAGGGGUCGGGUAGAGCUGGGUUAAAGGGGUAGGGGGUUUGGUCCGUUCACCUUGGGGCUACCGGUUAACCGGACCUGUCAAGCCCGGUCAACGAUUUUUACUGUACAACCGGUUAACCGACCCGGUCCAGACCAGUAUAACGACUACUUAAUUUUUAUUUGUUUAAUAAUAUGGCCUUUUAAUUUACUCUUUUUUCCGUUAAUUUACUUGUUGUUAAAUGUAAGCCUUUCAAUUUGUAAGUUUGAAUUUUGAAAUAAAUGUAGCACUUGCAAUUCAUAAGUGCAAUUUUUUUUGCAUUUUCAUGGUAUUCUUUCCAGAUUAUGAACACCCGAUCGGAUCUGUCAAGAACGAGCUGACGAUUACAAGGGACAGCUGACUGCAGUCCCCGAGCCCGCAAGCCAAAAAAAAGUUUGACUUGAACCUACCUUUGCUAAGAGAAGAGAGAGAAGGGAAAGACAGAUGGCAGAAAGAAAUCCUUCCAACCGCGGAAUUGAACACAAGACUGACUUCGGCCAGGUUCUUUUAUCAAUCAGAAGAAAGAAAUCCUUCCAACCGCAGAAUUGUUCCCCUUUGGACACGAACACUAUUCCGUUCUCAGCGGAAACCCUCCUUAGAGAUUGAACGGCAAUAAGAUAAGUCAAUGUUCAAUCUAAGAAUGACAAAGACAUUGUUGAGAAAAAGAUAGCUUUUCCCGGAUGAAAUGAAAAUUGGAUUCAUGUAACAGGAGAAAGAUUUUCCAUUCCUUAGCCAGAAAGAUAUGUAGCAAUGAAAGAGGGAUUAAGUGGAACAAAAUUGACUGGGUGGUAGAGUCGUGGAAACACUUGUUUCUUUCAUAUUUUGGACCUUAGCUCCAUGGAAGAAUAUGUUACUGCUGAAACACGGAAGAAUUGAAUUUCACUAAUUAUAUUGCUCAGCAAAAAUAGCCAAUUAUUAAUUGCAUAAAGAUAGUUUUAUUCGUUCUUCAAUUCUUAUAUUUCUAAUACAAUGUAUGGAUGGUAUGAACUGCCUAAACAAGAAUUCUUGAACAGCAAACAACC
RNAcentral lists this long non-coding RNA (4078 nucleotides) under Nicotiana benthamiana. Its description in RNAcentral is "long non-coding RNA (NBEN_LNC041610)". The record is from RNAcentral. Lineage: Eukaryota; Viridiplantae; Streptophyta; Magnoliopsida; Solanales; Solanaceae.